This 242-nucleotide unclassified non-coding RNA is filed under the name uncultured fungus. RNAcentral describes it as "partial contains 5.8S ribosomal RNA, internal transcribed spacer 2, and large subunit ribosomal RNA". The stretch from base 1 to 52 matches the Rfam family "5.8S ribosomal RNA", at positions 103 to 154 of the family's 154-position model. Lineage: Eukaryota; Fungi. The record is from RNAcentral.
AACGCACAUUGCGCCCCUUGGUAUUCCGAGGGGCAUGCCUGUUCGAGCGUCAUUACAACCCUCAAGCAUUGCUUGGUGUUGGGCUCCGCCGCUGACCCGGCGGGCCCUAAAACCAGUGGCGGUGCCGUCGAGGCCCUGAGCGCAGUAAACAUCCUCGCUAUAGGGACCCGGCGGACGCUGGCCACCAACCCCCACUCUCUCAGUUUGACCUCGGAUCAGGUAGGGAUACCCGCUGAACUUAA